This 304-nucleotide ribosomal RNA is filed under the name uncultured bacterium. RNAcentral describes it as "partial 16S ribosomal RNA". It matches the Rfam family "Bacterial small subunit ribosomal RNA", at positions 509 to 807 of the family's 1533-position model. The record is from RNAcentral.
CAGCAGUCGCCGCGGGAAUACAGAGGGUGCGAGCGUUAAUCGGAUUUACUGGGCGUAAAGCGUGCGUAGGCGGCUUCUUAAGUCGGAUGUGAAAUCCCUGAGCUUAACUUAGGAAUUGCAUUCGAUACUGGGAAGCUAGAGUAUGGGAGAGGAUGGUAGAAUUCCAGGUGUAGCGGUGAAAUGCGUAGAGAUCUGGAGGAAUACCGAUGGCGAAGGCAGCCAUCUGGCCUAAUACUGACGCUGAGGUACGAAAGCAUGGGGAGCAAACAGGAUUAGAUACCCCGGUAGUCCCUGUCUCUUAUAC